UUCAAAGCUCGCAAUGCACCGUUCUGAAAACUCUCCAGCGUAGAAUUCAGGAACCCUGAGUUUUCUAUCUCUGUCUAGUUCUGGACUGAAUGGGCUCAAGUCAUCUAGUUAACCUCUCUGGAUUUCAGUCUUCUGAAAAGUGAAGCUAAGAGAUCUAGCAUUCUGCAGAAAAGUACUGGAGAUGACUCAGGACUGAAAAUGAUCAUGAAGCCCCUUUGCAAAUAUCAAAGUGGUGAUGAAGCAGUCAUGAACUUUGACCAGAAGCCGUGUUUUGUGGGAUUGCCACUUUAAUCGCUCCUGUUCAUCAUUAGGACUGCAGCCAGAGUGUGGAAGGAGUGACAGCACAGAGGAAGAGAUGGUCCAAGACCAAAGAGGAAAGAAAUGGCAUAAGAUGGGACAGUGUUCUAUGAUCUCUAACUGGCCAAAGAAAAAUGAGAAACAAAUUUAAAAGAAGACAGUUGGAUGACUUAAACACCACCCCUGAGAGGCAGCUGUUUCCAGAAUAUUGCACAAUUUAUUGAGUUCAUGAGAAUCGUGAUCGUUGGCAGCACCGAACUUCACGGAGGGAAUCAUAGGCACUUUAAUUCCAAUUUGUUGACUUAUGGAGGAAGAAAUUUCUCCCAGUGGUGUCCCUUCAUCCAGGAACAAGAGCCAUCAAAGUGUCACAGACUUAGAGCCGGAAGGGCUCUCCGCUAGUGUUUCUGCCAGUCCUCUUGGUUUUACACAUGAGGAAACUGAGGCCCAGAGAAGUUACCCAGUAGCAGAUCUGCAAGUCACCCAGUAGCAGAUCUGCAAGGAGCUCUUAGCAAUCCUGACUCCAAGUGUAAUGCUCUUGCAUUAGCUCUGUGCUGCCUCCUAGAUGUUGGUCUUCUUAAUGUUGAUAGCACAUUUGCUCAAAUGUUUGCUAAUAUGGUUUGGCUGUGUCCUCACCCAAAUCUCAUCUUGAAUUGUAGUUCCCAUAAUCCCCACUUGUCGU
This 976-nucleotide long non-coding RNA is filed under the name Homo sapiens (human). RNAcentral's name for it is "HSALNT0357267". The record is from RNAcentral. Lineage: Eukaryota; Metazoa; Chordata; Mammalia; Primates; Hominidae.